Cervus elaphus (red deer) is the source of this 166-nucleotide non-coding RNA. RefSeq annotates it as small Cajal body-specific RNA 7. NCBI's taxonomy places the organism in Eukaryota, Metazoa, Chordata, Mammalia, Artiodactyla, Cervidae. The transcript has a single exon. The record is from RefSeq and is a predicted model, not a curated record.
GCACUUACUAUGAUGCUGAUACUGGAGUGCAUCUGAGGCUGUUGUAGAAGCACGUGGGUUGUUGGUUACAACACUGCCGAUGAUUAUAGCCCAGGAGCAGCUCACCUAAGUAGCCUGACACCCUAAAAUCUCUGACAGGUUCAUUGAACGUGAUCCUGUGAUCUGA